Long non-coding RNA from Helianthus annuus (common sunflower), 3681 nucleotides. RefSeq lists it as uncharacterized. The transcript has 12 exons. NCBI's taxonomy places the organism in Eukaryota, Viridiplantae, Streptophyta, Magnoliopsida, Asterales, Asteraceae. The record is from RefSeq and is a predicted model, not a curated record.
AUUCACUUUCUCAUCUUAAUUUACACUUUUAAUGGGAUUGAAUGAAUGCACCGAUUCAUUCACUCUCUGGUAGCAUCUAUAUUUUCACCCAAGAGUAAACUCAUCUCCAUCAAAUAUGUGAAUCCCAAAUGACGUUCCCAAUCCUCCAACCAGCGAAUCCCAAUGGAUUUGAAUGCCAUUGAUGAUUUGACGAUGUAUUUCUGGAUUCAACCGUAAAUAAGAACGAUUUUAGUUUUCUGCAAAACUAGGGAACUGGAAACACAAGCUCAAGUUCGAAAGUGGGCACGGCCUCACAAUGAUGAUUUGCACACAGUAAUAUCAAAUAGUGAAGCGUGAACCGAAUUCUCACAUUCAGAGGACAGCAAUGGAAGUCGGGGUGAACAUGUGGAUUGUAGGGCUGUAGCGAUGAUUUUUUAUGCGACUCGAGACGUUCGAUAGCUAGAAAAGAACUUGGCAAACUUAAAGCCAAAUAACCAAGAUAUUAAAAAGAAGUAUGCAGAGGAAAAAAAUUUAUAUGACAAGGUACAUGUGCUGGUUCUUUUGCUUCUUUCAGUUAGUUCUCUUAACCUUAUGUGCGCUACAGUGAAUUACGGACUGCUUUGGAUCACAACUUUCAACUAUUUUUUGACAUUCUUUUUAAACAGGUCUUCAACCAAAUGCUUUUUUCAUGGAUCAUCAGCCAAUAACACAUUUAGGUUCUUCACUAAACUUCAUCUCUUUCAUGUGGAUAAUGUGAUUGUGAGAUGUAGAAAAUCUUUCAGGGGUAUCUUACUGUGCAUCAUUGGCGAGUUUGUUCUUUUACAUUACACACAUAUAUUGUUUAUCUUGCAGGAGUAAAGCUAUCAUUUUUUUGAAAUUUUGUUCAUUUCCGUAGGGUCGGAAGCUAUGUUUGCUAAUCUUGGACACUUGGUGUGUUUAUGCAUGGCUUCACGUAACGAGGUGGUAAAAAGGGUUCCAUGGGUCAGAUGGGUUGGGUUGGGUUGGGUUCGGAUCAAAAUGGGGACUUUUUUUGUACAACCCAGGCUACGCUAGGCUGACCUCAAAACACUUUUUAUCAAAAGUAUAGAAAAACUAUCUUGUUACAAUAAUAAGCUAACAUUUUGAGUAAGACUAUCUCGAAGGUUACAUGCAUAAUGCAUUAAAAAACAAACUUUGUGAGUCUUUCAACCUGUUUGACCCAUUCUCUAUUAGUUCUUUUUCAUUUGGCUCAUUUGACUUGCAUAAGUAAAUGGUUCAAAGAUGCAACCUCAAUGAUUUCUUUUUUCUUGUUUUUGAGCUUGUAAUUUUAUUUUGCAUAUAGGUUUUACAUUAUUUAUUUAUCCAUACUUGAUUCUUGCAUAUAUGUACCGGCUGCUUAUUCGCCUCAACAUCAUGUUAUUGGAAUGAUUGUCGGAUUGGAUUCUACAUCUAUACCCGGAGUUUGAGUUGAUUGAUCAAGGGGAGCUUGCACCUCUAUAUGAGCUUGUUGAACGCAUUUUCAAGUUGUAGUUUCUACUUUUUUGGUUUAAAUUGUUUUUAUGUAAUAUUUUAAAAACAUAAGUUAUGUGAAACCUGUCACGCAACAUGCUCGAACAAACAAAAUUUAUGUACCCGCAGCAACGCGCGGGCAUUCCCACUAGUUUAAAAUAAUUCAAACUUGCUUUAAGAAUCAAAUUUACCUCGAUAUAUCUAAAUAGUUUGCGACGGUCCAAAUCAUUACACAAAAAGACCAUAUGACGCAGGUGCGAAAGCAAUAAAAUAAUAAGAGAAUAAUUUUUGAAGGAAAAGUUGUAAUUUUUGAAUGAUCUUUUUUUUAUAUAUCUAUAUAUCUAUAUAUCUUCUAUAUAACUAUAUAAUACAUCUCCUUAGGACUUAGAUGUAAUUUUACCCUCUAAUUUUAAGACGUAAUGUGAAAGGUCAUUGCAUUUUUCGUGAGUUUCAUCCCAACCUUCCAAAUAUGCCCCCCUUCACUUUUAGGUUUCAAUUAUUUUUUACAUUUCUUACAUGGCAGAUACAUCAAUCGUCGUUGUUCAAUGAACUAAUUUAACUCUUGCUUCUCCAUCUUCCCUCCCAAAUCGUUUGUGCUUCCACACACAUAUACAAGAGGGAGUCUCUGCCUCUCUACGUUUUCAAUUUGACCAAGAUUAGGUUUAGUUCUUCCCCCAAAUACACAAACAAUCACUCAAUCAGAAACAAGAUUAUCAUGUAAAACACCAAUUUCUGUUGUAGAUUCCUCUUAAUCGAUUCAAUUUCGCUUUUUUGUGGCCCAUGAACAUUUUAGGGUUUCCCACACACUUGACAUAUUGAAAAGAACACACACAUAGCUUCUAAGGGGCAUGAGGUUUGGAAGUGGUGAAUUUUCGUGAUUCAGGUGUGGAGGGUAAGUGAGAAUUGAGAAGAUGACGGAUGCUCGGUUACAAUGGUUACAGAGCCGGAGGGUACGACGGAUGCGUGUUCGGAAUACGAGAGGGAUGGUGAUUUUGAGAGGGGGUUGGAGUUGUUUUGCCAAUUAUCAGGUUUAAGUUUUGCUCUUCUAUUCCAGCUGAUCAUAUUUAAAGGAGGGUAAGAUCUGAUUUGGUUAUUACAUCAUUGUCGUCACCGGGGAGAGCUGAUUUGGAGAAUAAGCGUUGUUUUGGUGACAUAAGAAGGUUCAAUGAUUUAUAGAUUUAGGGAUUAUGCCUUACCUUCUACAGUAGAUGAUUUUUGACGUGUAACCACCAAUUCCAGCAGAAGCAAAGGUGUUGAACUGAUUGGCGACGAAUCAGAUUCUGGUCAAGACUAGGGUACUUCGUGCCUCGCAAUAACUCCGGCUACGAGCUUGGGUGCAACAGAGGUGACAGAGACGUUAGGGUCUUCCUAUGGGAUAAAUGGUGGUGGCCAGCUUACGGCUAUAAGGGCGGUGACCGGUGGUUCGAUUUUGGUGAUUUAAAAUUAUGCCACAUGGAAUAUGUUGAUAAACCAUGGAAGGAAGGCCGUUUGUACUACCGUAUCGAGGAAUGAUGUACUACUGAAAAGCUCUAAUGCUUCAAGCUUAUUUGGAAAGAAUGACUCUUGCAGGUUUUAGUUUUCUCCUUUCGAGGAUAGUUUUAUUAUUGCUAGGUGUACGUCUAAAAAACAUAAUCACCCACGGCAACGCACGGACAUUCCCAUUGGAGCUUGUCCAAAACUUACUAAGCUCAACAUCUGUGGCUGCUUGGUUUUUAGUGACGAUGGUCUCAAGUUCUGUAGUAGUUACUAUAUAAAGUUGAAAACUUUCAACCUUUGUGGGUGUGUGAAAGUAGCCACCGAUAAGGCUCUGAAGUUAUGGUAGAAUUACAAAUGUAUAUGUGGGAUGUAUUUGAUAUUUGGGGUCGUACUUAUAAACUGUCUUUUAGUUGUGCUUGUAGGCUAAUGGAUACAACUGUCGACAACAACUUGACUUUACCUUAUGGGUGUCCUAAUCUCUAUGCUAUUUACUUGUGUGGUGGUGUCUUUAUAACAGGUGGUUUUGGAGCUACAAAAUAACGGACAAAUGGUUACAUCUGAUGAUCAUGCAGUUGUACCUGGAUACUUAAAUGCAACUUUCAUACAGGAGGUUUCUGUAAUUUGUUCCAAGUAGUUUUAUAGUAAUGUUUACAAAACAUUAAUUUAUUCUUUCGUAUUUGAAUACAAGUGCUCCUUGGAAACAGACCCCAGCCUUUUUUGUAAUCCAAUACUUCUAGA